RNAcentral lists this ribosomal RNA (492 nucleotides) under uncultured bacterium. Its description in RNAcentral is "partial 16S ribosomal RNA". It matches the Rfam family "Bacterial small subunit ribosomal RNA", at positions 29 to 507 of the family's 1533-position model. The record is from RNAcentral.
AUUGAACGCUGGCGGCAUGCUUUACACAUGCAAGUCGAACGGUAACAGGCCUUCGGGUGCUGACGAGUGGCGCACGGGUGAGUAAUGCAUCGGAACGUACCCAGGGGUGGGGGAUAACGCAGCGAAAGCUGUGCUAAUACCGCAUGUGAUCUGAGGAUGAAAGCGGGGGACCGAGCAGCAAUGUUUGGCCUCGCGCCUUUGGAGCGGCCGAUGUCGGAUUAGCUAGUUGGUGGGGUAAAGGCCUACCAAGGCGACGAUCCGUAGCUGGUCUGAGAGGACGACCAGCCACACUGGGACUGAGACACGGCCCAGACUCCUACGGGAGGCAGCAGUGGGGAAUUUUGGACAAUGGGCGCAAGCCUGAUCCAGCAAUGCCGCGUGCGGGAAGAAGGCCUUCGGGUUGUAAACCGCUUUUGGCAGGAACGAAACGGUGUCCGCUAAUACCGGGCGCUAAUGACGGUACCUGCAGAAUAAGCACCGGCUAACUACGUG